RNAcentral lists this long non-coding RNA (416 nucleotides) under Sorghum bicolor (sorghum). Its description in RNAcentral is "long non-coding RNA (SBIC_LNC011256)". Lineage: Eukaryota; Viridiplantae; Streptophyta; Magnoliopsida; Poales; Poaceae. The record is from RNAcentral.
CUAACACGAAUGUGCUAUGUUGAUCUAUGAUGAAGUCAUUAUGAGGGGCCUCCACCAUGACCAUUGAUUCUGCCAUCUCUAUACAAACCAAAAAACUUAGACUACGGGGGAUACACAUGCAUCCCCCCAAGCAUUGCGCUUAAGAUAGAGUACUCCUCACCUAGUCCAAGAAAAACCCACAAACCCUAUACCCCAGUCGCACAGAGAGGCAUGUUACCCUGUGAGUGGGCUGGUGCCAUAAACUUAUGUUUUUUGGUACGUGGGGCAGGUGAGAGGUUUUUUCUCUAGCUAGCCAAUUCGUCCAUGCACAAGGGUGUCACUGGAAGUGCUCAACCAGCUGGUCUAGAAUUCGUUGGCCUCUGUACAAAAAAAAACAAAAAUGGAUGAAGCAGGGAGAGAAAAAUAGCCGAUGGCCG